UACGGAGGGUGCGAGCGUUGUCCGGAAUCACUGGGCGUAAAGGGCGCGUAGGUGGCGCGGUCAGUCAACGGUGAAAGUUCGGGGCUCAACCCUGAAUCGGCCGUCGAUACUCCCGGGCUUGAGCACUGUAGAGGCAGAUGGAAUUCCGGGUGUAGCGGUGGAAUGCGUAGAGAUCCGGAAGAACACCGGUGGCGAAGGCGGUCUGCUGGGCAGUUGCUGACACUGAGGCGCGACAGCGUGGGGAGCGAACGGG
RNAcentral lists this ribosomal RNA (253 nucleotides) under uncultured bacterium. RNAcentral's name for it is "partial 16S ribosomal RNA". It matches the Rfam family "Bacterial small subunit ribosomal RNA", at positions 524 to 776 of the family's 1533-position model. The record is from RNAcentral.